RNAcentral lists this unclassified non-coding RNA (307 nucleotides) under plant metagenome. RNAcentral's name for it is "partial contains 5.8S ribosomal RNA, internal transcribed spacer 2, and large subunit ribosomal RNA". The stretch from base 1 to 105 matches the Rfam family "5.8S ribosomal RNA", at positions 50 to 154 of the family's 154-position model. The record is from RNAcentral.
GAAAUGCGAUAAGUAAUGUGAAUUGCAGAAUUCAGUGAAUCAUCGAAUCUUUGAACGCACAUUGCGCCCGCCAGCACUCUGGCGGGCAUGCCUGUUCGAGCGUCAUUUCAACCCUCAGAACCCCUUGCGGGAUCUGGCGUUGGGGAUUGGCAUCCAGCCAGCCCCGAAAUCUAGUGGCGGUCCCUCCGCGACCUCCCCUGUGCAGUAGCGAUACCUCGCAGCGGGACAGCGGUCUGACCACGCCGUAAAACCCCCAACUUCUCAAGGUUGACCUCGAAUCAGGUAGGAAUACCUGCUGAAAUUAAGU